CUUGAUCAGAGUUCUGGUGUUGGUUGUGAUCAUGGCUGCAAUCAGUACACAGUUGACCUUUCCCAAAGGAAAUUCCCAAGAUAGCAAUGCAGAACACAGGAACUCUACAGUGGUUUAUAAGGAUCCCCACUAGCUAGUUGAAGACAGGAUUGAGGAUUUGCUUUCAAGGAUGACUUUGGCUGAGAAAAUUGGGCAGAUGACCCAAAUUGAGAGAGUAGUGGCUACCCCUGCAAUUAUAAGGGACCUUGGAAUAGAAAUCAUUGAAGGGCUACAGGGCUCUCCUCCUGAAGAACAUCCUAAUGGCUAUCCAUAUGUGGGGGGACGACAGAAUGUUGUAGCUUGUGCCAAGCAUUUUGUUGGAGAUGGUGGAACAGAGGGAGGAGUCAAUGAACACAAUACUCUGGCAACCUACUAUGAUCUUUUCUAGAUUCACAUGCGUCCAUACCUGUACUCCUUGGCAAAGGGUGUGUCAACUAUCAUGGCUUCUUACUCUUGCUGGAAUGGAGAAAAAAUGCAUGCAAACCAACACCUUCUAACUAGGAUUUUGAAAGAUGAACAUGGAUUCAAAGUAAGUAAAUAUGACAAAUAGAGUGAUUCAUUUUAUUUAUUUUCUGUAAUAAUAAUUUUAUCACAGAGGAAGAACUCUAAUCAGAACACUACUUCCAUUGGAUUUCCAAAGCAUACCGAUUUUUUUUCUUCUGAUUAAUACAUGGAGCAGGGCCAUUUAAGAAACAUGUCUUUUCUAUUACAAGAAAAUCAUGAAAUACGUUCCCAGACAAUACGCAAGAAAUCUUGAGCUGAUAAUUGGCUUGAUCGUUUUGAGUACAAGGAUUUAUCAUUUCAGAUUGGGAAGGAAUAGAUAGGAUCACCUCACCACCAGGCUCAAACUACUCAUACAAUGUUUGUUCUUCGAUCAAUGCAGGAAUGGACAUGGUGAUUUUAAAUGAUUAAUCAUGUUUCCAUACCACUAUAUUGGUUUUCUUUCCAGUCAGUAAUUUAUUUUAUCUAAUCUUGAAACUAUGUAGGUGAUGGUCCCUUUCAAGUUCAAAAAUUACAUUAGUAACCUUACAAAAUUAGUCAAUUCAGGCCAGAUUUCUAUGAGCAAAAUAGAUGAUUCAAUUAGGAGGAUUCUCAGGGUCAAGUUCAUUGCUGGCUUGUUUGAACAUCCCAAAACAGACAGAUCAUUGUUGGGCAUGGUUGGAAAUCCUAGAAAUAGCCAGAGAAGCGGUUCACAAGUCACUGGUUCUCUUGAAGAAUGGAAACAAGGGUGAGAAACCAUUACUACCUUUAAACAAGAAAACCCAGAAGAUACUAGUAGCAGGCAGUCAUGCAAACAAUCUGGGAUAUCAGUAUGGUGGAUGGACAAUAAACUAGGCAGGCAGUAGUGGAUCCAUGACUGUAGGAACCACUAUUGUGGUAGGGAUCUAGGGUGUUGAUGGUGAUUGUGGACCUAAAUUGGGUCUAGUACUAUCUAGGUUAUGGAUCGACUUAAUGAAACAUGUUGUUAGGACUUCUCGAUGUGCUUACGAGAUGACUUUUGGAUUGGAUGAUAUUUGUUUGGUCUCAGGCCGCCAUGUUUUAUAAUUAUGUAAUCGGUUUUAUUAUUUGGUGGUCGACCUAAUUGUUUAAAGUCGAGGGUUUGUAUAUAUAUGUGUAAGAUCUCUUUGUUGAUCAUGUAAGGGAUAAGGUAAUGCAAGUGAAUAAUGUAAUAAUCAUUCAUGCAGAGGAUUUGGUCGAUCAUAGGUGAUCGAGUUGGGUUUAUGCAAGAGAUUUAAGA
This is a long non-coding RNA of Cryptomeria japonica (Japanese cedar), 1777 nucleotides long. RefSeq lists it as uncharacterized. NCBI's taxonomy places the organism in Eukaryota, Viridiplantae, Streptophyta, Pinopsida, Cupressales, Cupressaceae. The transcript has 5 exons. The record is from RefSeq and is a predicted model, not a curated record.